GAUGAACGCUGGCGGCGUGCCUAAUACAUGCAAGUCGAGCGAACAGACGAGGAGCUUGCUCCUCUGACGUUAGCGGCGGACGGGUGAGUAACACGUGGAUAACCUACCUAUAAGACUGGGAUAACUUCGGGAAACCGGAGCUAAUACCGGAUAAUAUAUUGAACCGCAUGGUUCAAUAGUGAAAGACGGCUUUGCUGUCACUUAUAGAUGGAUCUGCGCCGCAUUAGCUAGUUGGUAAGGUAACGGCCUACCAAGGCAACGAUGCGUAGCCGACCUGAGAGGGGGAUCGGCCACACGAGAGGUGAGACAGGGACCAUGCGCCUGAGGGAGGGAGCAGUCGGGUAUCUUACGCAAUAGGCGAGAACAUGGCAGAGCGACGGCGCGUGAGUGGUAGAGAUCUUGGGAUCGUAAAACUCUGUUAUUAGGGGUGAACCACUGUGUAAGUAGCUGAGCACGUCUUGACGGUACCUAAUCAGGAAGCAACGGCUAACUACGUG
RNAcentral lists this ribosomal RNA (497 nucleotides) under uncultured bacterium. RNAcentral's name for it is "partial 16S ribosomal RNA". It matches the Rfam family "Bacterial small subunit ribosomal RNA", at positions 28 to 507 of the family's 1533-position model. The record is from RNAcentral.